UCGGCUUAGUGACAUACUAUUUGAGGCUGUACCCAGGUGAUGUGACUCUUCUGACUAGGCCCAGCCUGCAUAUGAGAUUAUGCUGUAUCACUGGCUAAGCACCCAGGUGAUAUUUUGCCAUGUACCUGAGACCAUAUCAAAGACCUAAUAACAACUCUUGUACCUGGAGCCAGGACAUGUGCAGGAUGGUGACUCUCAUCCCUGAACCUUUCCAUAGGGGGCUUGGUGACAUACUGUUUGAGGCUGUACCCAGGUUAUGUGACUCUUCUGACUAGGCCCAGCCUACAAAUGAGAUUAUACUGUAUAAUCCCAG
Molecule: small RNA, 313 nt
Filed under: Pan troglodytes (chimpanzee)
Lineage: Eukaryota; Metazoa; Chordata; Mammalia; Primates; Hominidae
Description: processed transcript
Source: RNAcentral